GCCAUAUCACAUGACAAGCAUACCCUGCAAAAACAAGUUAGACGUCCUCUAAUUUUGUUGUUGCAUGUUUUACGUGGUGACCAUGGGUAUUUAGUAGGAUCGCAUCUUACUUACGCAAACACCACAACGGAGAUAUAUGAGUUGCUAUUUAACCUCAUCCAAGGACCUCCUCGGUCAAAUCCGAUUCAACUAAAGUUGGAGAAACUGACACCCGCCAGUCA
RNAcentral lists this long non-coding RNA (221 nucleotides) under Hordeum vulgare. RNAcentral describes it as "long non-coding RNA (HVUL_LNC014161)". The record is from RNAcentral. Lineage: Eukaryota; Viridiplantae; Streptophyta; Magnoliopsida; Poales; Poaceae.